Molecule: long non-coding RNA, 264 nt
Filed under: Peromyscus maniculatus bairdii (prairie deer mouse)
Lineage: Eukaryota; Metazoa; Chordata; Mammalia; Rodentia; Cricetidae
Description: WT1 antisense RNA conserved region 8 (ENSPEMG00000005206.2)
Rfam family: WT1 antisense RNA conserved region 8
Source: RNAcentral
AAAAAGACUUAAAAUCUCCUCAUCUUAGAAAAUGUUUUCAAAGUAUUUGUUUCUGUGUUUUUAACCUAUGAAAGAUACUAUCUUUUAUCGGCAGGGUUUCAUCUCACCCCCUUCACUCCUGGCCACACUCAGUCUGUCACUUUUCUGUCAUCGUUGGAUUUAAUUAUAGAUGAAUGAAUUAUUUCUCAGAAAACUAGCUUGCUAAAUCUAAACAUCACGUUGUGAUUUCCCUUUGAUAAGUAGCAUAAAUGCAGAACUGCAUGU